UACGUAGGGUCCGAGCGUUGUCCGGAGUUACUGGGCGUAAAGCGCGCGCAGGCGGCGGUGCUGGCCCGGCGUGAAAGCCCCCGGCUCAACCGGGGAGAGUCGUCGGGGACCGCACCGCUUGAGGGCGGUAGGGGCUGGUGGAAUGCCUGGUGUAGUGGUGAAAUGCGUAGAGAUCAGGCAGAACACCUGGGGCGAAGGCGGCCAGCUGGGCCGUCCCUGACGCUGAGGCGCGAAGGUCAGGGGAGCAAACGGG
This 253-nucleotide ribosomal RNA is filed under the name uncultured bacterium. RNAcentral describes it as "partial 16S ribosomal RNA". It matches the Rfam family "Bacterial small subunit ribosomal RNA", at positions 524 to 776 of the family's 1533-position model. The record is from RNAcentral.